RNAcentral lists this ribosomal RNA (552 nucleotides) under uncultured fungus. RNAcentral describes it as "eukaryotic LSU rRNA". The stretch from base 186 to 339 matches the Rfam family "5.8S ribosomal RNA". The record is from RNAcentral. Lineage: Eukaryota; Fungi.
AAGUCGUAACAAGGUCUCCGUUGGUGAACCAGCGGAGGGAUCAUUACUGAGUACUACACUCUCUACCCUUUGUGAACUAUUAUACCUGUUGCUUCGGCGGCGCCCGCAAGGGUGCCCGCCGGUCUCAUCAGAAUCUCUGUUUUCGAACCCGACGAUACUUCUGAGUGUUCUUAGCGAACUGUCAAAACUUUUAACAACGGAUCUCUUGGCUCCAGCAUCGAUGAAGAACGCAGCGAAACGCGAUAUGUAAUGUGAAUUGCAGAAUUCAGUGAAUCAUCGAAUCUUUGAACGCACAUGGCGCCUUCCAGUAUCCUGGGAGGCAUGCCUGUCCGAGCGUCGUUUCAACCCUCGAGCCCCUGUGGCCCGGCGUUGGGGAUCUGCCACGGCAGGCCCCUAAAACCAGUGGCGGACCCGAAGGGUCCUCUCCUUUGCGCAGUAGCAUUCGCCUCGCAUCGGGAGUCCUCGGCGUCCUGCCUCUAAACCCCCCCACAAGCCCGCUUCGGCGGCACCAAGGUUGACCUCGGAUCAGGUAGGAAUACCCGCUGAACUUAA